This is a long non-coding RNA of Heterocephalus glaber (naked mole-rat), 2013 nucleotides long. Lineage: Eukaryota; Metazoa; Chordata; Mammalia; Rodentia; Bathyergidae. The record is from Ensembl.
CUGUGGUUCAUUCCUCCUGCGCAUCCCCAGCAGGGUGGGUGGGAGCCAGCAGCUUUGCUGACACUUCAAGUUUCCAUGCCGAAACCACAGCAUUAGUAUAAGCGCUCCGCAACUUCAGAGGAGGCAAACUUCAGAAUGGCCGCCAGCCUCCAUCUGCAGCUCCUAAUUGAGCCUUGCCCGCAGAGAUCAACACCAGCAGCUGCCUCUUCUUGGUUACUUCCCGGAGAUUCCAAGCUCAGCCUACAACUGUAGGGCAACACGUAUGCUUUCCAGGGAGGUGAGCUGCUAUACGAUGGUCGUCCCAUUGUCAAGCCACGUUCAGCCAUGGACUAUGAGCAAGAGGCCCGGGAAGCCUUGAGUGAAGAGGAGGUAAUGACAGCCGCAGCCUGUCGACCCUAUGCUUCUCGUAAUGGGGCUAAGACAGCCAUGGCUUUUAAGGAGCAGGGUGCCGUGCUGACACAGAAGGGGCAGGGACUCUGGAGCCAGGGACAGUGAUCAAAGGCAAAUUUACUCACUGUUAGCUUUGUUAAAAAUGAUGGGCUGGGUGUGGUGACACACAUCUGUAAUCCUCAGCACUUGGAGGCUGAGGCAGGAGGAUCACAAGUUCAACACCAGCCUGGGCUACAUGGCGAGUUCAAGGCUGCUCUGGACUACACAGCAGGACUGUUUCAAAACAAAAAUUAGGGCAAAAUAUACAUAACAAAGUUGGCCAUUUUAACCAUUUCAAGUGUAACACCUGUGUUAAGUACAUUCAUGUUAUUUUGUGUCACCACCUUCUACCUCCAGAAUUCUUCCUUCUUCCCAAGCUGAAACUUCAACAAGGACUUCCGCUUCUCACUGCCACCUGGCCGUCACCUUUCUUCUUUGUGUCUUUAUAGAUCUGCCUGCUGUAGGCACCUCAUAGGAGUACAAUCUUAAAAAUAUUUGUCCACCCUGAGUGGCUGACACAGUCUAUGAGGUUCUUUCACGUCAUGGCUCGGCCGGACUAGCCUUGCUUGGUACAGCCGGGCGACGUCACACUGGACAGAUGUAUCACGCUGUGUCUGUCUGUCCUGUGUCGGUGGACACCCGGGCGCCGUUGUGAUAGAUGAACCCCCAAAGCCACGCACUCAGGCGGCGCUGGUGGAAGGUGACUGAAUUACAGGGCUGCGGCUGACUUGCUGUUAGGAGGGAGUCUGACGGACGCGCCGGGCACUGAAUGCGUGACGUGGAAGGGUGUACUCUCUUCCGGCUCCCACCUUCGCUCUGCUCCUAGCCCUCACCAGGUGAGCAGCCUCGCUCUCCUCGGGCCCUUCAGCCAGUCUGCCGACCAUGCAAGACUGAAACCUGUCAAAUGUGAGCCAAAAUAAAUAUCUCCUUUAACUGCAGGCAUUAGGUUUUGUCCCAGGGAUGAGGAAAGGCACUAAGUCGAGGCAGCUUCCUCCUUUGGCUACUUGAACAAUGCUGCUAUGAACGUGGGCGCGCAACUAUCUCUUGGAGACCUUGCUUUCAAUUAUUUUGAAUAUAUAUCUGGAAGUGAGAUUGCUGGAUUACAUGGUGAUUCUAUGCCUAAUUCUGAGGAUUGUAGAAGUGAGCUGUUUGCUGCAUUUUUCACAAAUUGGACAUGCUUAUGUCACCAGGGCACAACCAGCACGCCAUAAGAAGCCCACAUACUCUUCCGGUUUCUACCUUACUCCGUGAAUCACCAUUACCCUAACUUUCAACAGCAUAGGCUGGAUAGAGAUGCCACCAGGAAACCAAUGGGCACCGAGCCAUCAGCCUCCCAUCUGAUAGAUGUCCAAGUCACCUACCAGGGCUGUCCUUGUGUACAGGUAUCACCAGGUGCGCUGAUCUGGGUACAUUUUUCCAACUGAGAAGGGGCUCGAUAUUACUCACAUUGAGCUUCCUGUCCUCUGUAAAUAAGGCAGAACAACUUCCCGGUGCCCUGGAUUCUGCAUAGGUGAGCCAAGAAUCCCCGGAUGUAAAACCAGAGAGGGCUGGGCGUGAUAGCCCAUGCCUGUAAUCCUAGCUACU